AAGGGAGACCUAAUUCAGGUAGGAGACGAAAAAAAAGUAGUCGCUACCAAGAAUCAAUCCCAAAAGGUCGGAGCGAGGCGAAAUUGGCUUUCAAACUAGGUUCUGGGUUCACACAAGACCUGAAUCAGGAACAAGGGCUAUUAGCUCAGGUGGUUAGAGCGCACCCCUGAUAAGGGUGAGGUCCCUGGUUCGAGUCCAGGAUGGCCCACCUGUACAGGUGGCAAAAAGAAAGAAAAGAAGCGAGGAAUCAGCACCUUAUCUUACUGACAUAGUAAGAGAGAAUGCUGGCUCUGAGUAAAGAGUCCAGGGGAACCUUGAAAACUGCAUAGAGCUAGGUGAAAAAGCCAAAAAAGAAGACCGCAA
Molecule: transfer RNA, 363 nt
Filed under: uncultured Microcystis sp.
Lineage: Bacteria; Bacillati; Cyanobacteriota; Cyanophyceae; Chroococcales; Microcystaceae
Description: partial 16S-23S ribosomal RNA intergenic spacer
Rfam family: tRNA (bases 135-208)
Source: RNAcentral